CAUCACUAAUGCCCGCUGACGGCUCCGCGUUCCCGUGGGAGUCACCAUUAGCUGUCGCCUCCGGGCAGCACCCGAGCGGCAUCUGCCGCAGCUGGGGAUGCUGGUGGUGAUAUGAGCCGGGAGAAGCCUUCCGGGAGCAGCCCUGUCCAAGGGGUGAUCGCUCCCUGGAGCAGAAAAAGGACUAGAGGAGAAUAAGGGGAGAAUGGCUGGUGUACAGCAGCUUCUGCCCUGCUCUGGAAAGACAUGCAGUGAUCUGAGUUGUGUGCAUGAGUGACCUGCCCUCCUGACUCAGCAGUGCUGUCACGUGCAGAGGAACUUAGCCACCAACAAGCUAGAAACAGCCCAGGUGUGUGGGACAGCAGAAAGGCACAGUGGCCAGUGCUCACCAGAUGAAUCAUCAUUCCCUCCUCUCCCUGGUCUCUCCUGGCAGACAAGCCCUGUGUGAAAAUCAACUUCACUAAGACUUUAUGUAGAAUAUCACCAUGCUCACACCCUUUUCUGCUUAAAAUCUCUAUUAUCCUUAAAGAUGUCUGAGCAAUGCUGUCAGAAACCAAGAUCCCAUGUGAAAUUCCCUUACUGAUUAAUUUUGUUAGUAAAAUAUCUUAAAAGCUCAAAUUACACAUAUUUGGAGGACAGAUCAGAAUCAAGUCUGCCCUUUUUAGCCCCUUUUUGUAUUAUUUAUGUCAAGAUAAAAUGUGCUGUUUACUUGAAAUAGGGUCUCAGAAAAAAUUGGAGCUGGAUGAUGAGGAAGAUACUUUCUGUGAGAGCUCUGCCAUUUGGGUGCAGACAUCAGAAAUCCAGUGUCAAACAGGGCUACAGAAAGGACAAUGCAGCAGAAGAGAACUGCUUUGAUGUUUGGAGCAGAACAAUUUACUCCCACACCUGGGAGUAAAAUUAUCCUAUUCUCCACUUAUCCCUCUAGAUGUAUUGCCUUGCUGUAUGCACCCUGUAAGGACUGGUGUGGGGCUGCAGAAAGGUAAGAGUACUUUGAGUAGCUCUUUGCUUCCUCAUUCCUCUGCUCUACACCCCAUCCCCUAUGAACGGGGGCACCCUUUGUACUGGCAGCACAACCAGGACAGCAAUAGGAUUAGUGUUGAAGGAGAAUGGCUUCAUCUGCCCUGCAUCUUCUCAUUCUUUUCUGGUGCUUUGUUUGCUCCUAAUGUAUUUCUAUCAGUCUCUUUCUCCCCAGUGUCACCCUCUCUUUCCCAUACCCAAGCAUCUCCUGUCCCUAUUUUCAUCCUCAUUCUUUUUUCUAUGAACUGGAAGAUACGCCAGAUUUCUGCUUCUUAGUUAAGCAGUUUCUUGUUUUGUAGGUACUUGUACUGGAAUACCUGUAGUCUCUGAUGUGUGAGCAUAUCUAAGAUACACUGAACAUAGAUCCAACUAUGCAAUUGAUACAAGAUGUCAUAUUGUUACAUUUGCUUGAUGCUUCAGAGAUCUCCUCACUGCUGGAAGAGUGACAGAGGGAAAAGCAGCUGUGCAAGAGGUGCAGAACUAAGGAGUCAGAUACCUUAGGACUGCACCUUUGGGUUAACUAGCACUGAGUAAGUUGCAACCCUUUCAUCAUGGUUGGGGCAUAAAUAAUAUCCUCCUGCAUGGAUCAUCUGCUUGCUGCUGACACUGCAGGUUUUUGUGCUGUGGUGUCUCUCCUUAGACACAGGUUUUCAAGAAACUGUAGGGACUUUUGUGAUGUUAGGAAUGCUGCCUCUCUGCCAUGUAUCAUUAAAACUUGGUAACAUUAAAAAAGAAAGAGAGAGAGAGAGAGAGAGAGAGAGAGAGAGAAAGAAAGAAAGAAAGAAAGAAAGAAAGAAAGAAAGAAAGAAAGAAAGAAAGAAAGAAAGAAAGAAAGAAAGAAAGAAAGAAAGAAAGAAAGAAAGAAAGAAAGAAAGAAAGAAAGGAAGGAAGGAAGGAAGAAAGGAAGAAAGGAAGAGAAAGAAAGGAGAAAGAAAUAGGCAAACUUACCAGUUUUGUGCAUUCUGUACUAUCUAAGGAGCCCGCAUGGUACCUGAAAGUGUAAUUAAAGGCCAUGCAAGCUCAUUAAAUACAGAAUGUGUGUACGGGGGUGGAGGUGGAAUUAGGAUUGCUCAAGCAAUUUUUAUUCUGGCAUUUCCUAAUGUUUUAAUGUUUACAUUAGCAAGUCUUAAUUAAUUUUCAUUAUACAAAAAUAUGAUGAAAAAUGCUGUUGUUACAUAAAUGGAUCCACUGUCCAUUGUUUUUUUCUUGCUAGAUCUCAGAAGCAAAAGGAGGUUUCCCCAGGGAAUCCGAAAUUUUGUUUAAUCUGGAUAUUUUAAUGCUAAUUAAAAUUUUUAGCAGAGAGUUUUUUAGCAGAGAGGGCUCUGAAGACUCAUUCUGCAAACCUGGAGGCCAGCAAUGAUACUGUUUGUAUCAAUGGUGCACAGUGUGGAAGGCGAUUGAAAGAAACUAGUUAAAUCUUUAAUAGUCAAAGACUGCCAUGAUAUAAGUCUAAGACCCUUCAUGGAGCAGAUCAUAAAUUAAAAACAACAGCAACAACAAAAGAUUUCAGAAGGGAGAGCAAUUGUUGCGUGCACAGAGCAAAACAGCAGCAAAGUAUCUCCCAGACUGCAAGAGAGUCUUGCAUAUGCAAGUUCCGCAUUACUGGCAGGUAUGGAGAGGAAACAGGAAUGCAGAAGUCACUGCACUGGCAUGUUUGCAGACUGCUGAACCAGACACUUUCCUCCAGACACAGAUUAGCUGCUUGCUUCAACAAACAGAGCAAAACAGGCCAGUCAAAUCACAAAAAAUAUAUCAUAGGAGACAGCAAAACACAUGUCCAACACUCCAGGUAGCAAACCAGUUGUCCAGCGGCUGAAUCUCUUCACUGUGAGGCAGGUCCUGGGAGUGAUUCCUUGUGUUGUCAUCACUGGCAGUUGUGAGCCUGGAAAACCAGCUGUAAGGGAACUGCAAGCAGCUGCCAAAAGCAUGGGAAGCUGUGUCACCUCUGCUGCUCUAAGUACCAGUGAAAGACAAGCCCAUUAUGCAGUCCCAUCUCUGGGGAUGGGAUAAUUUUCUGCAGGGUAAGUUUAAAGACUUGUCUAUACUUUGUCUCACUCUUUCUUGUGGAGUUGUUCCUUCUCCCAAGGCUGAGUACAGAUUUGUCUUCGUAGCUUCAACCAUUCCUUCAAAUGGGGAGAUCCAGUCUCACAACAGGUCUUUUUUGGUAAAAAUAAAUUACAUAUGCCUUAGAAAGUGGAUCCUAUGAAUGUGAAGUAAAACACACUCCUGACUGCUAUAUUUCUGCUGCCAGCCUUUUCUGAAGCCUAAGAUUAUUCAGUGAAAGAUGUAAAAAUUUCCUAAUAUUUCAAAGUAUUUUCUUAUUUUGUAUUUAGUCCUCUUUGAGCUAUUUUGUUUCCAUUUAUAGUUGUACCAACUCUCCCACGUAUACAAGACAAGCAAGUGGAAUUAUAGUUUAUCUAAAAAUCUGUCCUUUGUGAACUCACAGCUUGCUUAGUGCCUUGUAGAAUAAAUUUUUCAAGAACAGAAAUGGAGAUAAAACUUUAGUUGACUAUUUUAUUUUAUUUUAUUUUAUUUUAUUUUAUUUUAUUUU
This is a long non-coding RNA of Passer domesticus (house sparrow), 3565 nucleotides long. RefSeq lists it as uncharacterized. The record is from RefSeq and is a predicted model, not a curated record. Lineage: Eukaryota; Metazoa; Chordata; Aves; Passeriformes; Passeridae. The transcript is spliced from 3 exons.